AUUGAACGCUAGCGGCAGGCCUUACACAUGCAAGUCGAACGAGUGGCGGACGGGUGAGUAAUGUCUCGGAAACUGCCCAGUAGCGGGGGAUAACUACUGGAAACGGUAGCUAAUACCGCAUACUAUUGGAGAGGCCCAUAUGGGAUUAGCUAGUUGGUGGGGUAAAGGCUCACCAAGGCGACGAUCCCUAGCUGGUUUGAGAGGACGACCAGCCACACUGGAACUGAGACACGGUCCAGACUCCUACGUGAGGCAGCAGUGGGGAAUAUUGCACAAUGGGCGGAAGCCUGAUCCAGCCAUGCCGCGUGUAUGAAGAAGGCCUUCGGGUUGUAAAGUACUUUCAGCGGGGAGGCGGUACCCGCAGAAUAAGCACCGGCUAACUCCGUGCCAGCAGCCGCGGUAAUAC
RNAcentral lists this ribosomal RNA (406 nucleotides) under uncultured bacterium. RNAcentral's name for it is "partial 16S ribosomal RNA". It matches the Rfam family "Bacterial small subunit ribosomal RNA", at positions 30 to 526 of the family's 1533-position model. The record is from RNAcentral.